UAUGUAGGUGGCAAGCGUUGUCCGGAUUUAUUGGGUUUAAAGGGUGCGUAGGCGGUUUUCUAAGUCAGCAGUGAAAUACGGCAGCUCAACUGUCGAGGUGCUGUUGAUACUGGGGAACUUGAGUACUGAUGAGGUAGGCGGAAUGGACGGUGUAGCGGUGAAAUGCGUAGAUAUCAGGAGGAACACCGGUGGCGAAAGCGCUCAUCUGGCCCAAUACUGACGCUGAGGCGCGAAAGCUAGGGGAGCAAACGGG
Molecule: ribosomal RNA, 253 nt
Filed under: uncultured bacterium
Lineage: Bacteria
Description: partial 16S ribosomal RNA
Rfam family: Bacterial small subunit ribosomal RNA
Source: RNAcentral